Molecule: ribosomal RNA, 497 nt
Filed under: uncultured bacterium
Lineage: Bacteria
Description: partial 16S ribosomal RNA
Rfam family: Bacterial small subunit ribosomal RNA
Source: RNAcentral
GAUGAACGCUGGCGGCGUGCCUAAUACAUGCAAGUCGAGCGAACAGACGAGGAGCUUGCUCCUCUGACGUUAGCGGCGGACGGGUGAGUAACACGUGGAUAACCUACCUAUUAGACUGGGAUAACUUCGGGAAACCGGAGCUAAUACCGGAUAAUAUAUUGAACCGCAUGGUUCAAUAGUGAAAGACGGUUUUGCUGUCACUUAUAGAUGGAUCCGCGCCGCAUUAGCUAGUUGGUAAGGUAACGGCUUACCAAGGCGACGAUGCGUAGCCGACCUGAGAGGGUGAUCGGCAACACUGGAACUGAGACACGGUCCAGACUCCUACGGGAGGCAGCAGUAGGGAAUCUUCCGCAAUGGGCGAAAGCCUGACGGAGCAACGCCGCGUGAGUGAUGAAGGUCUUCGGAUCGUAAAACUCUGUUAUUAGGGAAGAACAAAUGUGUAAGUAACUAUGCACGUCUUGACGGUACCUAAUCAGAAAGCCACGGCUAACUACGUG